UACAGAGGUGGCAAGCGUUGUUCGGAAUUACUGGGCGUAAAGGGCGCGUAGGCGGCCUUCUAAGUCAGACGUGAAAUCCCUCAGCUUAACUGGGGAACUGCGUCUGAUACUGGCGAGCUUGAGUGCAGGAGAGGAACGCGGAAUUCCAGGUGUAGCGGUGAAAUGCGUAGAUAUCUGGAGGAACACCGGUGGCGAAGGCGGCGUUCUGGACUGCAACUGACACUGAUAGACGAAAGCCAGGGGAGCAAACGGG
This 253-nucleotide ribosomal RNA is filed under the name uncultured prokaryote. RNAcentral's name for it is "partial 16S ribosomal RNA". It matches the Rfam family "Bacterial small subunit ribosomal RNA", at positions 524 to 776 of the family's 1533-position model. The record is from RNAcentral.